CACAAUUGGUUAACGUUCUUCAUAGAAUCCCACACCCUACCUUUUCAUUUAUUAACAUCCUGAUUUUCUUCUUCCCAAACACGCCUAAUCAAUAUUUUUCACUUUCCAAUGAAGCAUGCUUGCCGAUAUCCACAUCUAAUGAGGCGGCUAAGUUCAACGAUCCAAUCUUCUUCAUCAUCUAUAUUAAUUCAAACAGUCCUAAACCCUUACAUAUAUCAUUUCCCUCACUCAUCAAUAUUCCAACAUUUCUCAGCAACAUGUGUGCAGAGCCGAUUUUGUUGGUGGUGAUGGAUUCCAAAGUUAAUAGUUAUUUUAGGGUUCUUUGUGAUAUUUGUGUAUUUUAGGAUUCUUUGUGAUAUUUGUGUAUUUUAGGGUUCUUCUUCAGAUGAAACUAUCUAUAGCUCUGUGCCAUUCAAUUCAAUAUCCAAACACAUUAGAAUCUGAAAUGUGUAUGAUUCGGUGCUGAAAAUUGUUGGAUCUGCUUUUUUUGCAUCAGUUAAAGUUCAAUUCAUCGAGUUUUUAAUGUGAUUCUGUUUCUGAUUUUUGUGUGAUUUUGUUAUUGUUUUAGGUUUGAGUUCAGAGAGACUUUCAAGGUUAUCUUCCCAAUCGUUGAACCACCAUCGCCUCAGAUGAAACUAUCUACAGCAUCCUCUCAUACCUCUCCCCUAUCCUUAAUCAAGAUAGAUACAAGUCUUUGUAUUUAUCCGAUGAUAUUGUAGAAGAGGAUGAAGAGGAGUUCCUUUUACUAAGUAUCUCCUCUUCUGUUCCUUUUCAUCUUCUGCUAAGGAUUUAUCAAGAAGAAUGAUUUGCAGAGAUGCUUCCAGAAGAUUUUAUGCAGAACAAGGGUUGAAUAUGUACUGUUUCAUUUCACUCGGAAGCCGUUGUUGGUGGCGGUGGUGGAUUGCCAUCUUACAUACAUGGAGCUGUUUAUUGGGAACCUAUCAAACCUCUCACCAUUGAAGAGUUUCACAUCCCUCACAAAUGUUGUGUAUAGUAUGGGAGGACUUGCUUAAUAAUGUGUUGUGUGCAAAUGCACUGGCUAUAUUACCAAGCUCAAUGCCAUAUAGGAGUCUGCAAUUUUAGGAUACCUUGCUUUUACUGCUUAUCAUGCUAUGGCUCAUGCGGAGGAAAUGCGUUCGGGUGAUUAUGUUGCUGUUAUUGGUACUGGUGGAGUUGGUUCUAGGUGAUUAAGUCUAUUGUUAAACAGAUGUCAUGUUUUUAAAUAUUUAUUUAUCUGUGAUUACUUCCUCUUUUUUUUUUUUUAUCUUCAUACACAUAUUUUUACCAUUAUACAAAUUGCUUAUAAAAUCAAAUUAACUAUGACCAAAUUAUCAUUUUGAUUUAAUAACAUGAAAUAUGUUAUAUUUCUUAAUAUAAUCCAAAAGUUAAAACAGUGUAAAGUAUUAUAAUUAAAAUUAUAACAAUAGUUGAAACCGUGUAAUCAAUUGUUACUAGCAUAUAACCCAAAUGAUAAAUUUACAAUUUCUAAAAAGUAG
This is a long non-coding RNA of Vicia villosa (hairy vetch), 1496 nucleotides long. RefSeq lists it as uncharacterized. Lineage: Eukaryota; Viridiplantae; Streptophyta; Magnoliopsida; Fabales; Fabaceae. The transcript has 3 exons. The record is from RefSeq and is a predicted model, not a curated record.